This 492-nucleotide ribosomal RNA is filed under the name uncultured bacterium. Its description in RNAcentral is "partial 16S ribosomal RNA". It matches the Rfam family "Bacterial small subunit ribosomal RNA", at positions 29 to 507 of the family's 1533-position model. The record is from RNAcentral.
AGUGAACGCUGGCGGUAGGCCUAACACAUGCAAGUCGAACGGCAGCACAGUAAGAGCUUGCUCUUACGGGUGGCGAGUGGCGGACGGGUGAGGAAUACAUCGGAAUCUACUUUUUCGUGGGGGAUAACGUAGGGAAACUUACGCUAAUACCGCAUACGACCUACGGGUGAAAGCAGGGGAUCUUCGGACCCUGCGCGAUUGAAUGAGCCGAUGUCGGAUUAGCUAGUUGGCGGGGUAGAGGCCCACCAAGGCGACGAUCCGUAGCUGGUCUGAGAGGAUGAUCAGCCACACUGGAACUGAGACACGGUCCAGACUCCUACGGGAGGCAGCAGUGGGGAAUAUUGGACAAUGGGCGCAAGCCUGAUCCAGCCAUACCGCGUGGGUGAAGAAGGCCUUCGGGUUGUAAAGCCCUUUUGUUGGGAAAGAAAAGCAGCAGGUUAAUACCCCGCUGUUCUGACGGUACCCAAAGAAUAAGCACCGGCUAACUUCGUG